CGCUCUCUAGGACGAGAAAAAAAUAACGAGAGAAAAAAAGAGGAGAGAGAAAAAGGUAUAAGGGUAUUUUGGUUAGUUUGCUGGAAAGCGGACCGAAUCUGCAAAAACGAAAAAGGUGGCCCGGUUUUGCAAAAGCCCAAAAUAAGUGAAUUUUUUAUGCAAAUUGGCCUAAUUCUAAUUACAUAAUAAAGUAUUUACUCUUUGGCUAAUUCCAUCCCGUAAAUUAUAUUAUUCUACUAAUUACUCACUAAAUUUAGUGACUUACAAUUUUCAUCCACAGGCCAAAAACAUAAUAGCGACUUAGGUUUCAUUUAGAAUUGCGGGGAGAUUAUGUUACGAUAGGGUGAGAAAGUACGAUAGAAAAAUAUUCUGUUUAUUUUCGUACGUAAUAUUAUGUUUCGUAAUGUUGAUAAGUCAGUUACGAUAUAUUUUUUGUUAUUCCAUCGGAGAAUACAGAAGCAUAUUAUCUGCUUCUACCCCAACUCUAUUUUAUUUAAUAUCGUCGUAGGGCCUCAAUACCAAAUUGAGCCUUAGUGCUAUUAAAAUUAUUUCAACUCAAUUCCUUAAAAUACAUUAACA
Molecule: long non-coding RNA, 579 nt
Filed under: Ananas comosus (pineapple)
Lineage: Eukaryota; Viridiplantae; Streptophyta; Magnoliopsida; Poales; Bromeliaceae
Description: long non-coding RNA (ACOM_LNC007498)
Source: RNAcentral